UACGGGAGGCAGCAGUGGGGAAUAUUGGACAAUGGGCGCAAGCCUGAUCCAGCAAUGCCGCGUGUGUGAAGAAGGCCUUCGGGUUGUAAAGCACUUUUAUCAGGAGCGAAAUACUACCGGCUAAUACCCGGUGGGGCUGACGGUACCUGAGGAAUAAGCACCGGCUAACUUCGUGCCAGCAGCCGCGGUAAUACGAAGGGUGCAAGCGUUAAUCGGAAUUACUGGGCGUAAAGCGUGCGUAGGCGGUUUGUUAAGUCUGCUGUGAAAUCCCCGGGCUCAACCUGGGAAUGGCAGUGGAUACUGGCAAGCUAGAGUGUGUCAGAGGAUGGUGGAAUUCCCGGUGUAGCGGUGAAAUGCGUAGAGAUCGGGAGGAACAUCAGUGGCGAAGGCGGCCAUCUGGGACAACACUGACGCUGAGGCACGAAAGCGUGGGGAGCAAACAGGAUUAGAUACCCUGGUAGUCCACGCCCUAAACGAUGCGAACUGGAUGUUGGUCUCAACUCGGAGAUCAGUGUCGAAGCUAACGCG
This 528-nucleotide ribosomal RNA is filed under the name uncultured Gammaproteobacteria bacterium. Its description in RNAcentral is "bacterial SSU rRNA". It matches the Rfam family "Bacterial small subunit ribosomal RNA", at positions 340 to 859 of the family's 1533-position model. Lineage: Bacteria; Pseudomonadati; Pseudomonadota; Gammaproteobacteria. The record is from RNAcentral.